GGUUGGUCCGAGUGCAGUGGUGUUUACAACUAAUGGAUCACAACCAGUUACAGAUUUCUUUGUUCCUUCUCCACUCCCACUGCUUCACUUGACUAGCCUUAA
RNAcentral lists this Y RNA (102 nucleotides) under Cebus imitator (Panamanian white-faced capuchin). RNAcentral describes it as "Y RNA (ENSCCAG00000012745.1)". It matches the Rfam family "Y RNA". Rfam says of the family: Y RNAs are components of the Ro ribonucleoprotein particle (Ro RNP), in association with Ro60 and La proteins. The Y RNAs and Ro60 and La proteins are well conserved, but the function of the Ro RNP is not known. Lineage: Eukaryota; Metazoa; Chordata; Mammalia; Primates; Cebidae. The record is from Rfam by way of RNAcentral.